GCAUUUAGCGAUGGACCAUUCAAGUUUCUGACCUAUCAGCUUUCGACGGUAUGGUAUUGGCUUACCGUGGCAGUGACGGUUAACGGGGGAUUAGGGUUCGAUUCCGGAGAGGGAGCCUGAGAAACGGCUACCACAUCUAAGGAAGGCAGCAGGCGCGCAAAUUACCCAAUUCUAACAGUUUGAGAGAGGUAGUGACAAGAAAUAACAAUACAGG
Molecule: ribosomal RNA, 214 nt
Filed under: Hepatozoon canis
Lineage: Eukaryota; Apicomplexa; Hepatozoidae
Description: partial small subunit ribosomal RNA
Rfam family: Eukaryotic small subunit ribosomal RNA
Source: RNAcentral